AAGCCGAAUACGACUUCGCCUUUUGGUGGCUUCCUCACCGACACGGUCUCCCACCGCCCCGGUCGCGGCCUGCCCGCGAGGCCCAGCGGCGCCGCGUAGCCCGCAAAAGCAAAGGCGGCUCCCCUCGAUCCACUCCGCGUAGCCCCGCAUCCGGCAUCUCCCCUCGAUCCACUCCGCCUCCGCCGGCGCCACUCCGCUCCGCCUCCGAAGCCGCCGGCACCACUCCGUCUUCGUCUCCGCUCCGUCUCCGCCGACGCCGGCGCCACCCCCCACCAACCCACCGGAGCGUCCACUCCAGCGGCGACUCGAGCACCGGAUCCGUCUCGAUUUGUUGCGGCUCAGCGCGCGCAAGAUCGAUUGGUAUAUGUGUAGGAGGCGUACCCAUGGCGUCUCCGUCCGCUCGUGUGCCAUCGCAAAGAAUGGUUCCAGGCCUCCUUGCUGCUUCCCCUAGCCCUACUACUCCUACCUUCGUUGCAGCACCCAUCCCUUCCCUGGUCCCUGAACCCCAUCGUCAAGAACAGGGAGGAAUCUAGACAACAGGGAAGAAACGAAAGAUCAGCUCUGAGUUUGGCAAGAGGGCAGAGGUGCUCCGACCUGCACAUCAGGGCUCCUCCCCUGCUGCCACCAUUCCCACAGCUGGACAUCAGGCACAGCAACUUCCUAUAUCUUCUUAAUCUCAUAUUCCUAACUAUACUGACUUGUCCAUGCAUGUUCCUAAACAAAUGUGCUUGAUCACUGGCCGGAGAUAACUAGCUCGCCCAACAAUAAUUAUCUUACACAGAGCUUUUGGGAAAUAAGGCUUGCAUUCUUGACCUGAGAGAGUCCUUUGGACCGCAUUUCUUCAGAUCACAAGAACAGGAGCCUUGAAAGAGCAGCCUAGUUGAAGAUGGUAGAUGUUAGACUGCAAUCGAAGAAGCUGCAGCAGCAGGAUUGCUAAGCCACGUAGAAGAAAAAAUGAGGAGAAAAAGUGACUCCAAGUACAGUGCUAAUAGAUUAGUGUGGUUCUGUAAUGUAUAACCCAUUUUAGUCUUUUCAAGCACUUACCGAUGUCAUCAUCGGACCCUGAAGCAUAGUUGUAACACAUAUUUGGAUUUCGAUGUAUGGUUGUUCAAAAUCUGGAACAUACAGUUGUUAUAGGCUUGUUACACAUUAGUUGCAAAA
This is a long non-coding RNA of Panicum virgatum (switchgrass), 1161 nucleotides long. RefSeq lists it as uncharacterized. The record is from RefSeq and is a predicted model, not a curated record. NCBI's taxonomy places the organism in Eukaryota, Viridiplantae, Streptophyta, Magnoliopsida, Poales, Poaceae. The transcript has 4 exons.